CGCGUAGGCGGGUUUUCAAGUCUGUGGUGAAAUCCUCCAGCUUAACUGGAGAAGUGCCGUGGAUACUGGAGACCUCGAGGAGGGUAGGGGCAUCUGGAACAGCCGGUGGAGCGGUGAAAUGCGUUGAUAUCGGCUGGAACUCCGAUGGCGAAGGCAAGGUGCUGGACCCUAUCUGACGCUGAGGCGCGAAAGCCAGGGGAGCGAACGGGAUUAGAUACCCCGGUAGUCCUGGCCCUAAACGAUGAGAACUAGGUAGUGGACUUACAUGGGUUCACUGUCGAAGCAAAAGUGCUAAGUUCUCCGCCUGGGGAGUAUGGUCGCAAGGCUGAA
RNAcentral lists this ribosomal RNA (330 nucleotides) under uncultured Gemmata sp. Its description in RNAcentral is "bacterial SSU rRNA". It matches the Rfam family "Bacterial small subunit ribosomal RNA", at positions 568 to 898 of the family's 1533-position model. The record is from RNAcentral. Lineage: Bacteria; Pseudomonadati; Planctomycetota; Planctomycetia; Gemmatales; Gemmataceae.